This 253-nucleotide ribosomal RNA is filed under the name uncultured bacterium. RNAcentral describes it as "partial 16S ribosomal RNA". It matches the Rfam family "Bacterial small subunit ribosomal RNA", at positions 524 to 776 of the family's 1533-position model. The record is from RNAcentral.
UACGUAGGUGUCGAGCGUUGUCCGGAUUUAUUGGGCGUAAAGAGCCCGCAGGCGGCUUGGCAAGUUUGGGGUGAAAUCUCCCGGCUCAACUGGGAGGGUGCCCUGAAAACUGUCAGGCUUGAGUCAUGGAGAGGGAUGUGGAAUUCCGGGUGUAGUGGUGGAAUGCGUAGAGAUCCGGAGGAACACCAGCGGCGAAGGCGGCAUCCUGGACUGGUACUGACGCUCAGGAGCGAAAGCGUGGGGAGCGAUCCGG